Molecule: ribosomal RNA, 318 nt
Filed under: uncultured soil bacterium
Lineage: Bacteria
Description: bacterial SSU rRNA
Rfam family: Bacterial small subunit ribosomal RNA
Source: RNAcentral
AGAUUGAACGCUGGCGGAAUGCUUUACACAUGCAAGUCGAACGGCAGCACGGGACUCAGGCAACUGAGCCCUGGUGGCGAGUGGCGAACGGGUGAGUAACAUAUCGGAACGUACCCAGUCGUGGGGGAUAACUCUACCGAAAGGAGAGCUAAUACCGCAUACGUCCUGAGGGAGAAAGCGGGGACCUAAGGGUAACUGAGGGCCUCGCGCGAUUGGAGCGGCGAUAUCGGAUUAGCUAGUUGGUGGGUAAAGGCUCACAAGGCGACGAUCGUAGCGGUCUGAGAGGACCGACCCGCACACUGGAACUGACGACACGGU